Molecule: non-coding RNA, 422 nt
Organism: Scomber scombrus (Atlantic mackerel)
Lineage: Eukaryota; Metazoa; Chordata; Actinopteri; Scombriformes; Scombridae
Source: the annotation of a RefSeq genome assembly
UGGUACACGUUCGGUGGAGGAACCAGACUGGAUGUUGGAAGUGAUGUCCGUCCCACCCUGACGGUGCUGCCCCCCUCCAGCCAGGAGCUGCAGCAGGGGAAGGCCACGCUCACGUGUCUGGCCAACAAGGGCUUCCCCUCAGACUGGAGUCUGGCCUGGAAGGUGGACGGCAGCAGCAGCAGCAGCAGCAGCUGGGAGCAGAGCAGGAGCCCCGGGGUGCUGCAGCAGGACGGCCACUACAGCUGGAGCAGCACCCUGAGGCUCACUGCAGACCAGUGGAGGAAGGUGGGCUCUGUGACCUGUGAGGCCACCCAGGGCUCCCAGACUCCACUCUCAGAGACACUGAGGAGAGACCAGUGUUCCCAGUCCUGACCUGACCCACUGGGACUCUGCUACUGGGUUAACUCUGCUACUGCUCUCAC